Paramisgurnus dabryanus is the source of this 1287-nucleotide long non-coding RNA. RefSeq lists it as uncharacterized. NCBI's taxonomy places the organism in Eukaryota, Metazoa, Chordata, Actinopteri, Cypriniformes, Cobitidae. The record is from RefSeq and is a predicted model, not a curated record.
ACCGGUGGACUAAACAUCAAGCCUCUGCACGAUUCAGGUAAGUGGAAUAAAAUACAUUGUAAAUAAACAUUAUUAAAACAGAUUGUGAAGUCAUUCAUUCAAAACUUGCUAUGACCUAAGCCUAAAUGACUUAAUUUCUUUUUAGAAUUAAGACAACCUUAGCAGGAGAGCCCCAGCAGUAACUUUCUCUCAAGCAGAUGAGCAAUAAGUUGCUUUAUAUGAACACCACCCUAACAAUCAAGUAGCCUGUUAACAGUAGACCAAAGGUAUGAUGAUCAAUUAUAAAUGCAAUAUGGUUGAAAGCUUGACAAAAAUGUAGCUUGAAGGAGAAGGGACAGCUGAGAAACAAAGUCUUGGUACGCAGACGACGAUACUAUUACACUGACAAGAGUGUAAUGAUGAUGGAGACACAAGCCAGAGAAAGGGGGGACCAAACACCAGGCCAGAAUUCUGCAUGAGUCAGAUCCAGUGGGUGCAGAUCAUCAUACAGAUGGUUCAAGUGUGGAUCCACCUAAUAUUCAAGAUUUUCUGUCCUGGGACACUCGGCUAACCAUCAAGAAAGAACACACUCCAGUGGGCAUCCUUUAUCCAUCCAGACCCUCAUACAGAUGGUUGGAGUUUUGAUUCACCUAAAGUACCAUGCAAGAGCACUCAUUUUCCCUCUUGAGACCAUGGUGUGACCUGCAAGGUCGAAUGGAGACUGUAAACGAGACAAUCUUGGAGUCACCUGCAUUCACUGGUCCAGUUGUUAGUCCAAUUACAGAUGGAGAUUAUAGAAGAGGAUGAUGUCUUUUCUCCAACAUCUUUCUAGACUGAUAAAAGAUCUAGACAGGCUUGAACAAAAGUUAACAGAGGGGCUUAUAUAGAGAAUGGUGAGCAGCUACACAUAAAAGAAGAACAUGGAGAAUCUGCCCAGAGGUGUUAACCAGCAAUGCAGCUAUACAACUAAAUUGAUGCAGGCGGAAACAAUGUGUAAUGCAGCUGCUGCAGAUGAAGAAUCCGUCCGUCUACCACUGAAGGAGACGCGGAUCAUCGGGAAAAGAUGUUCUUUGCCCGAGGAAGCAUUUGAUUAAUUUAAAGAUAUUGUGUUUCUUUGUAUGUUAUAGAAAAAAGUUGCUUUUUUGCAUACACUCGUGUAAAUAUGCAUCUUAUGAAUGUUUUCCUUUGUCUAAUUUUAAUAAAUUUUACGCAAUCAACUGCCUGUUUUAUUGAAAAUACUGUUUUAAUUGUUGUCAAUGAUAUAUUGUAAUAAUAUGUGUGUAUAACUGUGUAGAAGAUGUAGUUUAG